Molecule: long non-coding RNA, 895 nt
Organism: Hevea brasiliensis (rubber tree)
Lineage: Eukaryota; Viridiplantae; Streptophyta; Magnoliopsida; Malpighiales; Euphorbiaceae
Exons: 2
Source: RefSeq, a predicted model, not a curated record
AUGGAAUAGGUUUCCUUCGGCAGAACGUUAUCUUAUUAUUUGAAGUUUUCCAAAGUGGUCCCACCGACUUGCCUUCCAAUUUACACCCUAAGGGGUACUUGAGUCAUUUUACAGAGAGCCAAUGAAACCCUAGUUGAAUUUUGGCCUAUAAAAGAGAGGUUUUUAACACAAUUCAUGUGUGGCUUCCCUAAACAAAAUUUGAGAAAGCUUUUACAUCUUCCUUCUUCUUCCAUGCUUUGUGAAUCUCUCUUCUUGCACAAACAAAGAUCAUGAUUUGUGAAUCUCUCUUGGUUUAUGGAUAAUUGUGAGAGGGAGAUAUGCUAGAGCUACAAAUAGCAAGAAAGGAGUUACCUCAAGUUUAUCUUCUCUAGCCCUGUGGUUCUUUGGAAGCUGUCUGAAUUCCUUGGUUAAGCGAAGGCACUCCUGUACAUUUUCUGGGGAGACAAAAUCUACAGCAACUUUUGUACAUGACUGUUUAUGGGGAAUAGGAUGUUAAAUAUAAGUUUCACAUUGGUCAUAAAGCAUAUUCUCUAUCUACGCAUGAAAGCCCUAUUUCAUAAAACAACUGUCUCAAGAUUUACCUUGAGAUUCCUAACUUGGUGUGGGCAACCAGCAGGAAUAAAUAUGGCCUCCCCGACUCUUUGUUCAAAUGUCCAAGGUUCAACACCUGGAAGUGUGAAACAAUUCAAGUUAGUGCUGUUAAGGAUAGGAAUGUAAAUAUUGUGAUUGAGAUUAAAUCCCUAAAAUCAGGGGAUUUCUAGAUUAGGAUAAUUGUAUAUUUUUCCUUAUCAAAUUUAUUGAAACUGUAUAUAUUCCCCACAGGUUUGAGGGAAUAAUCAAGCUAUUUUUCUCCAGGCUAUUUUCAAAGAGAAUACUUACCAAAUUCCUCCUUCAA